This 254-nucleotide ribosomal RNA is filed under the name uncultured Pseudomonas sp. RNAcentral's name for it is "partial 16S ribosomal RNA". It matches the Rfam family "Bacterial small subunit ribosomal RNA", at positions 99 to 355 of the family's 1533-position model. Lineage: Bacteria; Pseudomonadati; Pseudomonadota; Gammaproteobacteria; Pseudomonadales; Pseudomonadaceae. The record is from RNAcentral.
CGGACGGGUGAGUAAUGCCUAGGAAUCUGCCUGGUAGUGGGGGACAACGUUUCGAAAGGAACGCUAAUACCGCAUACGUCCUACGGGAGAAAGCAGGGGACCUUCGGGCCUUGCGCUAUCAGAUGAGCCUAGGUCGGAUUAGCUAGUUGGUGAGGUAAUGGCUCACCAAGGCGACGAUCCGUAACUGGUNUGAGAGGAUGAUCAGUCACACUGGAACUGAGACACGGUCCAGACUCCUACGGGAGGCAGCAGCU